This 336-nucleotide ribosomal RNA is filed under the name Harryflintia acetispora. The record is from RNAcentral. Lineage: Bacteria; Bacillati; Bacillota; Clostridia; Eubacteriales; Oscillospiraceae.
GCCAGGAGGUACUAAUCGGUCGAGGGCUUGUCCUAAUGUGUAUAUUCUCUUGUUGCUUUAUUGCAACGCUCUUUGUUCAAUUUUCUGGGUACUAGCUUUUCCUCCCGGAAAAGCUCUCAAAGAGUGAAAUCACUUCGUGUUUUCAUUCUUCCGAAGCGCUGGGAGAAAAGGUGAUCCAGUGCAAGGGAGACUCCCAAUACUUUGGGAGGCAACCCAAUGGCCGGUGUUAAUGGCGAUGAGGAACCACCUGUUCCCAUACCGAACACAGAAGUUAAGCUCAUCCGCGCCGACAAUACUUGGCGGGCGACUGCCUGGGAAGAUAGGUCGAUGCCGGCA